Ipomoea triloba (trilobed morning glory) is the source of this 1996-nucleotide long non-coding RNA. RefSeq lists it as uncharacterized. The transcript has 3 exons. Lineage: Eukaryota; Viridiplantae; Streptophyta; Magnoliopsida; Solanales; Convolvulaceae. The record is from RefSeq and is a predicted model, not a curated record.
CCCUUCCCCAUUUCAACAUCUUCAUUUCUACUUUUCACGGUGAAAUCUAAACACCUCCAUCCUUGAUCUAAUUUUUCAAUAGUUCUUGUAAUUGCUAUCCUAGCUUUGCAAAAUGCUACUUCUAGCACAUCAUAGAUGCAGAUGUUGAAUCGAAGGUUAUUUACCGGCAUUCCUCAAAUUACAACGAUCAGUGUUCACAACCAAGAUAAGUAUUUUUGUUCUUUGUUCUUUUUUUUUGAAAAUUUGUUCUUUGUUCUUAAAUCUAUAUGAUUUUCUAAUUCUUAUCUGAAUUUGUUCGCAUUUGUGGUAGUACAUAGUUUGAGUUCGUAAUUUUGUGAUUUUUUUAAGGAUCAUAUGUCAAUUCAUCUUGCAUGUUGUUCUAUUGUAGUAUUUUUGACUUAUCUAUGCUAUUCUCUAGUCAUUCAGGGUUUAAAUUUGUCAAUGUAAGUUCUUAUUUGAAUUUCAAUUACUCGAAAAUUCAGUUUUUUUUUUCCACACUCUAUGUUGGCUUAGAUCCAAUUUCUAAAAAAAAAAUUAUCAUAACAGUGUUAGCUUUUCCAUAUAUUUUGAAUCUGAAAAUUAAUUACUAACUUAUGGCUUUUUUGCUACUAACUCAUGUAGUACAACUAUGCAAUUAUGCGUAUUGUUCAAUAUUUUCUAAUCUAUGGUAUGUUAUAUGAAUAGUAUAAUUAAGUCUAUCUCAUAUGAAUUUGAGAUAGUAUGUUACAAAAUCCCUAAUUUGUUUUAAAUUACUUUAUAUCCUAUGAAACUGAACUUAAAUUUAUUACUGCACUUCUAGUUGUAAGCCUAACACUAAGUAAAUGUUAUAGUUCUAAAUACUCCUAUGAAUGACAAACCACAUUAUGUUAAAGGUUUAUAGUUUCAUUGCAUAGUUGCAUUUCAGUUGUUAAAUUAGUAGAAUCUUUGACAACAAUAUGCUUAGUUAAACAUAUGCUAAUUAGGCAUUCCUAAUCUAACUAAAAGUCAACUUAUAAAUGUGGACAAAAACUGUACUAAUUUGGUACAUUAGUAGUAAUGUUGUUUCUGUUAAUCACUAAGAGGCUUAUGUACUCAUACUUGAAAUGUGUGUUUCUGAUUCUGAUUUACAUUUCAUUGAUUUAUAUAGACAUUCACUGGUAUCAUAUAUAUUACUCUGAUUUAAAAAAUGCAACUAUGUUUUAUAAAUGUAUUCUAGAAGUAGAACUCAGAGUUGUAAACUUACCUUUGUUUUUAGCUAUCUGCUUCCUCUUCUUACCAAUGAUUGUUGAAGAAGUUAUUUUCUUCAUAUUCUUCAACAGCUAUAUGAUUGAAUACAUAUGAUUGAAUACUGUGGAGUUUUUUAAAAUUGUUCAACAGCUAUAUAUAUAUUAGUUAUGGUUUCAUAAGGCAGGAAUCAUAAUAGUUUUUAAGCCUAAAUUUUGGUCUUUAUAACUGUUGAUUCCAAUAUCCUAAUUAUAUUUAAUACUAUUGUGUGCAGGCAUUACAUAUCUGUGAGAACACUAAAAGGUUUAAUUAUUGCAUGAUUUCAUUUCCCUAUGCAGUAUGUUGUGUACUUAAUUAGUGUAAAGGUAGCAUAUGUUGAAUUCCAUAUUCAAAUGCUAGGCUUUGGACCUUCAUAUCUCAGAGUUAGCAAUUAUGCUCAGGUGAAUAAUGAGGAAGGAGAUGUACUUGUUCAUCAUGGACCCUUACGUUCCCCGCUCUUAUUCCUGAAGGUUGAUAAAUCACGAGCAAGAACGUAUAUCCCCAUAUUGGAAUGACACUCUUUAAUUCUGAUAAAAUAGUACUUUUGCGAUUGUUUGAAUUGAGUGAUUAAACCUGUAUUAUAUAGGCUUCAGUUGUAGAUAGGCCAAGAGUUUUAGACCUAAAUGGUCUCUACAAUAGUUUUAAUUACAUAGAUUUAUUAUAGUAGAAGAAGAUAUAUAUAUAUAUAACACAGGAACCCAAGUAAGUUUAAACUUAUACCUUAAUGGAAUUUAUAAGAAAAUUUCAUGUGGGA